UGUUACGGAGCUUCCUUAAAGUCUAGGCAUUAUGCGUGGAAGAGGCAAGAACAAAAGGAUUUGAAGGUAUUGUUUGAGCUUUCUUUGGAUCCAAGGUCGAAAUCAAAAGGGGGUUUCAAAAAUGGAUACCGUCAAGUUCUAGAGAGCGUACUUGAUGAAGCAAUGAAGAAAAAUUCAUGUGAUGGCUAUAUGUCAUUUAAUCUAUCAGAUGCUCAUUACGAGAUUUUGAAUUCCUGCUAUUGA
Molecule: long non-coding RNA, 243 nt
Filed under: Oryza sativa Indica Group (long-grained rice)
Lineage: Eukaryota; Viridiplantae; Streptophyta; Magnoliopsida; Poales; Poaceae
Also listed under: 2 other names
Description: lncRNA OsLima_08g0010370
Source: RNAcentral